This 246-nucleotide long non-coding RNA is filed under the name Solanum tuberosum (potato). RNAcentral describes it as "long non-coding RNA (STUB_LNC002060)". The record is from RNAcentral. Lineage: Eukaryota; Viridiplantae; Streptophyta; Magnoliopsida; Solanales; Solanaceae.
CAUCAGCCCCCAAACAUAUAUCACUCACAGAGCAGCUCCUUCUAUGAGAGAGCCCGUUGACUGAGCUGCAGCCACCACCACCCCAGUUAUAUGAAGAGAAAAGCAUGGAAUCCCCACUUGGACUUGAGGCUAAAUCUUGCUGUUGCUGUUGCUGCUGCUGUUGGUAAUAAACAUCAGGAUUCUUAGGCCCCAAGGUUGGUGACCCAUCAUUCAAGAAAGAAAGCUGGUCCUGUAGUUGAAACUCAU